Molecule: ribosomal RNA, 87 nt
Filed under: Pseudo-nitzschia fraudulenta
Lineage: Eukaryota; Bacillariophyta; Bacillariophyceae; Bacillariales; Bacillariaceae
Description: partial 5.8S ribosomal RNA
Source: RNAcentral
AUAACGAUGACGAAGAUAGCAAAAAGCAGAAAAAGCAACAAGAAAAGCAGUUUCGUGUGCUCUUGUCAAACCUUCGAAAGGCCCUUC